GGGUCGGUACCGAAGCGGUCAAACGGACCUGACUGUAAAUCAGGUGGCAUCGCCUUCGGAGGUUCGAAUCCUCCCCGGCCCA
This 82-nucleotide transfer RNA is filed under the name Candidatus Ryanbacteria bacterium RIFCSPHIGHO2_01_FULL_48_27. RNAcentral describes it as "tRNA-Tyr". It matches the Rfam family "tRNA". From Rfam's summary of the family: Transfer RNA (tRNA) molecules are approximately 80 nucleotides in length. Their secondary structure includes four short double-helical elements and three loops (D, anti-codon, and T loops). Lineage: Bacteria; Candidatus Ryaniibacteriota. The record is from RNAcentral. RNAcentral also lists the same sequence under 1 other name.